RNAcentral lists this ribosomal RNA (2299 nucleotides) under Nanobdellota archaeon. Its description in RNAcentral is "bacterial SSU rRNA". It matches the Rfam family "Archaeal small subunit ribosomal RNA". Lineage: Archaea; Nanobdellati; Nanobdellota. The record is from RNAcentral.
AUUCCCGUUGAUCCUGCGGGAGGUCGCUGCUAUCGGGAUUCGAAUUAGGCAUGCAAGUCAAGAUCUCUUCGGAGGUCGGCGAAAGGCUCAGUAACACGUCGAUAAUCUGCCCUAUGGUCUGGGAUACGCUCGGGAAACUGAGUAUAAUACCGGAUAUGAGAAAGUCACUGGAAAGUUCUUUCUCUGAAAGGUUACGCCAUAGGAUGAGUCGGCGGCUGAUUAGGCUGUUGGUGAGGUAACGGCUCACCAAACCGAUGAUCAGUAGGGGGUAUGAGAGUACUGUCCUCGAGAAGGGCACUGAGACAAGGGCCCUAGCCCUAAGGGGUGCAGCAGCCACGAAAACUUUACAAUGCGCGAAAGCGCGAUAGGGGAAUCCCGAGUGCUUGCCUUACGGCAGGCUUUUGUUAAGUGUAAGGAGCUUGACGAAUAAGUGGUGGGUAAUACUGGUGCCAGCCGCCGCGGUAACACCAGAGCCACUAGUGGGGGCCAUUUUUAUUGGGUCUAAAGCGUCCGUAGCCUGUCUGAAAAGUCCUUUGUGAAAUUGUUCGGCUUAACCGAGCAGCGUGCAAGGGAAACUAUCGGACUUGGGACCGGGAGACGAUAAGAGUAUACCUUGGGGAGCGGUUAAAUGUUUUAAUCCUUGGUAGACUACCGAUAGCGAAGGCACUUAUCGAGAACGGGUCUGACGGUCAGGGACGAAGGCUGGGGGAGCAAACUAGCGCCAAGAUAGCUUUAUAAACAAAGAAGUUUAGGGGGUUACAUGAGGAUUAGACAACUCGUGAAACUUUCAUCCUAUCUUUUAUCCGACGGAGGAAUAUCACCAAGAGGCAAAAAUUCAUACACAAUAUAUUUCAGUAAUAACGAUGCUUCUUUGGUUGAUAAUUUUCAGAUUCAACUUAAAAAAUGUAUUCACAAAGAGGGAUACAAAUCUUUAAGAAAAAAUGGAUCAACCUUCGUAAAAAUACACUCAAAAAAUUUAGCUAAGGAAUUAUUUAAAGUCUCUAAGUCAUAUAGGACAAAAGCUUGUAAAAACAAUCCAAUUUGUCCGCAUAUAAAAAAUAAGAGACCAGCACACAUCAAUACAAUAUUGGUUGAUGGAAUUGAAUAUCCUGCUGCAGAAAUACCAGUUGAGUUAUUAAAAAAAGAUAAAACCCUUGCAAAAGAUUUUUUAAGAAUAUAUGCAAGUUGUGAUGGAGGAGUUUCAGUUUCAGCUGCAAAAAAUAAAAAAAAUUCCAUUUUUUUAGUAAGGAAAAUUUUUAUUGAAGUAGCACAUCCUACAUUGAAGCAGCAAAUUUAUACACUGCUCAAACAUCUAAAAUAUAACCCUAAGUGUUACAAAACAAGCAUAAGAUUAACUACAAAAGAAGAUUUUAUAAAGUUUCAUAAAGAGAUUGGUUUUAUUAAAAAAUCAAAAAUAUCAAAACAUUCAAAGAAUUUUGUUGGUUAUGAAAAAAAUAAAGUUCUCAAGAUGUUAAUUGAUUCUUAUAAUAAUCCUCAAAAUCUCCUAAAUUUAUUGUUGAAGAAUUAAUCUUGGUCUAGGCUCAGAACGGAUUAGAUACCCGUGUAGUCCCAGCAGUAAACGCUGCCCAUUAUGUGUUGCGUAUCCCACGAGGGUAUGCAGUGCCGUAGCGAAGGCGUUAAAUGGGCCACCUGGGUAGUACGGUCGCAAGACUGAAACUUUAAGGAAUUGGCGGGGGAGCACUACAAUCGGUGACGCGUGCGGUUUAAUUUAACUCCACACAGAGAAUCUCACCAGCAGCGACGGCAGUAUGAAGGUCAGAUUGAAGGUCUUACCUGACGAGCCGAGAGAUGUUGCAUGGCCGCCGUCAGCUCGUGCCGCAAGGUGUCCGGUUAAGUCCGGCAACGAGCAAGACCUGUACUUCUAUUUGCUAACGAGUCCUCCGGGAUGAUCGAGCACAAUAGCGGGACUGCCUUGGUAACAAGGAGGAAGGUGCAGGCAACGGUAGGUCUGUAUGACUCGAAUCUGCUGGGCUACACGCGCGCGGCAAUGUCUAGUACAAUUGGAUGCAACUCCGAAAGGAGAAGCUAAUCCCCGAAAGCUAGGCCUAGUACAGAUUGAGGGUUGUAACUUACCCUCAUGACGCUGGAAUCGAUAGUAAUCGCUUGUCAUCAGCAAGCGGUGAAUACGUCCCUGUUCCUUGCACACACUGCCCGUCAAAUCAACCGAGCAGGGUUUAAGUGAGGGUUGCAUUACGGUGCGAUUCGAACUUAGAUUCAGUGAGGUGGGUUAAGUCGUCACAAGGUAUCCGUAGGGGAACCUGCGGAUGGAUCACCUCCU